AGUGUGAUUGCUGGGGCAAAUGGUGGUUCCAUUUCAAGUUUUCUAAGGAAUCUCCAUACUGCUUUCCAUAAUGGCUGCAUCAAUUUGAAGUCCCAUGAGCAAU
RNAcentral lists this microRNA precursor (103 nucleotides) under Marmota monax (woodchuck). Lineage: Eukaryota; Metazoa; Chordata; Mammalia; Rodentia; Sciuridae. The record is from RNAcentral.